CACGUAGGGCGCAAGCGUUGUCCGGAAUUAUUGGGCGUAAAGAGCUCGUAGGCGGUCUGUUGCGUCUGCUGUGAAAACCCGGGGCUUAACCCCUGGCUUGCAGUGGAUACGGACAGACUAGAGGUAGGUAGGGGAGAAUGGAAUUCCCGGUGUAGCGGUGAAAUGCGCAGAUAUCGGGAGGAACACCGGUGGCGAAGGCGGUUCUCUGGGCCUUACUUGACGCUGAGGAGCGAAAGCGUGGGGAGCGAACAGG
Molecule: ribosomal RNA, 253 nt
Filed under: uncultured bacterium
Lineage: Bacteria
Description: partial 16S ribosomal RNA
Rfam family: Bacterial small subunit ribosomal RNA
Source: RNAcentral